GGAAUUCUGGGCGUAAAGAGCUCGUAGGCGGUUUGUCGCGUCGUCUGUGAAAACCCGCAGCUCAACUGCGGGCUUGCAGGCGAUACGGGCAGACUUUAGUACUGCAGGGGGAGACUGGAAUUCCUGGUGUAGCGGUGAAUGCGCAGAUAUCAGGAGGAACACCGGUGGCGAAGGCGGGUCUCUGGGCAGUAACUGACGCUGAGGAGCGAAAGCGUGGGUAGCGAACAGGAUUAGAUACCCUGGUAGUCCACGCCGUAAACGGUGGGCGCUAGGUGUGGGUUUCCUUCCACGGGAUCCGUGCCGUAGCUAACGCAUUAAGCGCCCCGCCUGGAGAGUACGGCCGCAAGGCUAAAACUCAAAGGAAUUGACGGGGGCCCGCACAAGCGGCGGACAUGUGGAUUAAUUCUAUGCACGCGAAGAACCUUACCUGGGUUUGACAUACACCGGACCGCCCCAGAGAUGGGGUUUCCCUUGUGGUCGGUGUACAGGUGGUGCAUGGCUGUCGUCAACUCGUGUCGUGAGAUGUUGGGUUAAGUCCCGCAACGAGCGCAACCUUUGUCUUGUGUUGCCCCAAGUAAAGUUGGGGACUCCCAGGAAACUGCCGGGGUCACCUCGAAGAAGGGGGGACACUUCAUCUUCUUGCCCCUUAUGUCGGGCUUCCCAUGCUACAUGGCCGGUAAAAAGGGUGCAUCCCCGAGGGGGAGAAUCCUUUAGCGUUUCUCGGACGGGUCCGCCCCCCCUGAAGCGAAUCCUAAUCCAACACACCUCGUAAUCCUUCCGACUAAA
This 786-nucleotide ribosomal RNA is filed under the name Rhodococcus ruber. Its description in RNAcentral is "bacterial SSU rRNA". It matches the Rfam family "Bacterial small subunit ribosomal RNA", at positions 547 to 1284 of the family's 1533-position model. The record is from RNAcentral. Lineage: Bacteria; Bacillati; Actinomycetota; Actinomycetes; Mycobacteriales; Nocardiaceae.